Molecule: ribosomal RNA, 443 nt
Filed under: uncultured bacterium
Lineage: Bacteria
Description: partial 16S ribosomal RNA
Rfam family: Bacterial small subunit ribosomal RNA
Source: RNAcentral
CCUACGGGUGGCUGCAGUGGGGAAUAUUGGGCAAUGGGCGCAAGCCUGACCCAGCAACGCCGCGUGAAGGAAGAAGGCUUUCGGGUUGUAAACUUCUUUUCUGAGGGACGAAGAGAGUGACGGUACCCCAGGAAUAAGCCUCGGCUAACUACGUGCCAGCAGCCGCGGUAAUACGUAGGUGGCAAGCGUUAUCCGGAUUUAUUGGGUGUAAAGGGCGUGUAGGCGGGAAAGCAAGGCAGAUGUGAAAACUCAGGGCCCAACCCUGAGCCUGCAUUUGAAACUGUUUUUCUUGAGUGCUGGAGAGGCAAUCGGAAUGCCGGGUGUAGCGGUGAAAUGCGUAGAUAUACGGAAGAACACCAGUGGCGAAGGCGGAUUGCUGGACAGUAACUGACGCUGAGGCGCGAAAGCGUGGGGAGCAAACAGGAUUAGAUACCCGGGUAGUC